This 432-nucleotide unclassified non-coding RNA is filed under the name soil metagenome. RNAcentral's name for it is "partial contains 5.8S ribosomal RNA, internal transcribed spacer 2, and large subunit ribosomal RNA". The stretch from base 4 to 119 matches the Rfam family "5.8S ribosomal RNA", at positions 39 to 154 of the family's 154-position model. The record is from RNAcentral.
GAUAAGAACGUAGCGAAAUGCGAUACGUAAUGUGAAUUGCAGAAUUCAGUGAAUCAUCGAAUCUUUGAACGCAUAUUGCGCUCUCUGGUAUUCCGGAGAGCAUGCUUGUUUGAGUAUCAGUAAACACCUCAACUUCCAUAUCUUUUUUGAAAUGGGAGUUGGACUUGAGUGAUCCCAACGCUUUUCCUCACCGAAAAGUGGCGGGUUACUUGAAAUGCAGGUGCAGCUGGACUUUUCUCUGAGCUAUAAGCAUAUCUAUUUAGUCUGCCUAAAAAACAGAUUAUUACCUUUGCUGCAGCUAACAUAAAGGAGAUUAGUUCUUGUGCUGACUGAUGCAGGAUUCACAAAGACAGGCUUCGGCCGACUUUGUAAACUCGAUCUCAAAUCAAGUAAGACUACCCGCUGAACUUAAGCAUAUCAAUAAGCGGAGGA